UUCCAAUCAAAAUGGUAUAGUAAUCUAGCUAGAGUAAGCUCAAGGGUUGCUGUACCAAAUGACAUUCCCGGACAAGCUCUCAUCCCGAAUCCAAAUCCCAAGAACUCAAAAGGAAUUGAUACUUCGAUAACAUUAUUGAACCUCUCGGGCUCAAAUUUUUCUGGAUCAUGCCAAUAUUGAUGGUCCCUUCCCAUUGCCCACAUAUUCACAAGGGCUAUAGUUUUUUUAGGUAUGAUAUACCCAUUAAGCUCGCACUGCUCUAUUGAUUCCCUAGGUAAAGACAAUGGACCAGGAGGAUGAAGCCUUAGAGUUUCCUUAACUACCAAUUUCAGACGGAUUCUUUAUUAUUUCAGACAUGGCCCAUUCCAAUGCAGUUGCUGAUGUCACAGUUCCGGCAGCGAACAUAUUCUGUAGGUGCCCAAUCGAUAAGCAAUUUUAGGGUUCAUUUGUAGCCAAAUAUAAUAAAUAAAUAAUAAUACUUCUUAAGAAGAAGAAAGGGUGUUGGGGAAGAGAUUGACAUGAAGAUCUAGGUAGUACUUACCAAGAGUAUAGCUUUGAUGUUAUCUCUUGUUAUAGGGAUUUUAAAAUUGUGGCUCUCCUUGUCUUUAAGCCUUAAAAGAAGGUGCAAAAGAUCUUCUUUA
Molecule: long non-coding RNA, 641 nt
Organism: Nicotiana tabacum (common tobacco)
Lineage: Eukaryota; Viridiplantae; Streptophyta; Magnoliopsida; Solanales; Solanaceae
Source: RefSeq, a predicted model, not a curated record